AACAAAGAACCCUAAAUACUGAAGAAUAUGUUUGCCCACAGAGCAUGGGUAAAUACAUAUGCUAUUUUUGUUGUGUGAUCAAGCUAAUAAACACCAAUUAUAUUUUUCACAGCUUGUUCUGUAUUUACAUAGUGUGCCAAUUGUUGUAAAGGGUGCUGUCCUGGAUGCAAUCACACAAUCCAUUCCUUUAAAUUACACACAUCUUGCUGAUAGUAGUCUUACCACCACAGUUCCAUUUUCCUCACUUCAUUAAAAGAAAACCGGCGUCAUUAUCUAUUAACUAUGGACCAUUUGGUCUUCCAUGUUAUCGCCAGGCUAGACAUUUUUUGACCAAAUGAGGAUCCAGGGGUCAUCAGUGGUCUCCUGACCGAAGAGAGAUGCCAACAAGCAGGCACCACCAACAAAGACGUAGGACUACCAUUCAAUGCUCAGGCCCCAGUAGCUCUGAGCAUCGACUCACAUUUUACCACUGUGACUGCGGCAGAUCCCGAGCCCAAGCCCACCAAAGAUUACGCUGGAGGCCACUUGGAAGUAAGUUAGAAAGCUACCUAACAUUAAAAUAAAUGAAGUGCCUACUCACUGCAAAUCCAUGCAUCCAAGCCCAAAUUAAAUGUUUUAUGUAGGUUAUUACACAAAGAUUAGGCAAUGUUAGCAUCAACCUCUGAGCUCUGGCAUGUUAAAGUUGUAAAUAUGAUGUUAUGCUAUCUAGCUCAGUGUGUUACAGUACUGUAUUACUUGGCUAGGCUAGCCCUUUCUACUAUUGAGGCUGUGGUACAUUUACAAAAAUGUUGCCCUUUUUCAGCCAACAUUGCAUUACAUUUAGUAACUUUUUAUGUUUGGUUAAUUUGAUUUUGUAGAAAAAUAGGCGAAAUGGAGGGCGCCAUCAAAGACAUUAGAGAAUCCAUCAACAAGAUAAAAUCGAAGAUGCAUGUCAAUAAAUGGAAGCAUGCAACUGCCGCUGGAGCUGUGCAUCGGUAAGGCAAGUCGUCAGAAACCUUGGAGAGCUCCAGUGGAGAGUGGGUCCAGGUGACUGGUACUGGGUGAUAACCGAGGGAAAGGAUCCCAUGUCCAGCCAAACCAGAGUGAGAGGGAGAACUAAAGAACCACCAAGCCAACCUUCCCACAAGAGGUAUUUGUCUGUGGGAGACGAAAUUGAGACAUAGACCCAAUAUUAAUGGAUAAUUCGUUUUGAAAUGAAUGAGUUUGUCAGGAUGGUUGAAUGUUUUCAGACAAUUAUAGUUUAUGUUUACAAGUGUAAGUCUAAUGUUGAUAUUUCCUUUGCUGUUCAAAUAAAUAAAUA
Molecule: long non-coding RNA, 1300 nt
Organism: Esox lucius (northern pike)
Lineage: Eukaryota; Metazoa; Chordata; Actinopteri; Esociformes; Esocidae
Exons: 3
Source: RefSeq, a predicted model, not a curated record